CAGUGGUUCAUCAGAACCUCGGGGGAUGUCCUGUGGAUCCUGUGGAUCCUGUGGGUUGCAGGGUGGGUCCUACCUAGACCAGGCUGAUCCUGGACCAUCCCACAGAUGCUCAAUCAGAUCUGGAUGUGGGGAGUGUGGAACCCAGAUGUUCAGAGGGAGAUGAUGCCACAUCUGGUCCAGCUGAUGGAAGGUCUUGAAGUUCUCUGACUGGCCUGGACUGAAGAUGGUCGUCUCACUGGAUUUAAGGUUCAAAUGCCCAGUAACAAACUCCACCAAUGUGCCAACAGGGAAGCUUUAGGUUUAGUAAAUGUUGCUAUGAAGGUUUCACUGUUUUUCUUUGUGAAUGCAAUGUGCUCCAACUGAAACUUGAAUUAGAACUUAGAAGUAAAUCCUUCCAUCUGAAAGGAUUUAGUUGCAUUAAUAAUCUCAUAACAUUCUAAUUUUUAUUCCAGUCUUGGUUGGAAAUAGAAUCUCUGUAUUGAUUCAGGUAAAAACUGAACUUCACAGCAUGUUGGAGCAAAACAACCAGAUGAAAACUGUGAUGGUGUUGGAUUGUCAGACCGUAAUGUUGCAGCUCAAAGCAGCUUUUCUAGCUCAGUUCAUUCUGACAUUCAGCUAUGAAUCAACACAGCAGAUGGUGAUCCAUGCUGUGGAAGUCUCACAUCUCCUGAUUUAAUGGAGCUGCUUUGCACUUUUUACACUGUUUAUUCACCAACACUUUAUUUAAUCAAAGUCCCAUCUAGUUUUCAUGAGGAAUGUGAUGUUUUAAUUUCUCUGUGAAUAACUGCAGUCUAAUGCAACAGCUGGAGUUGUAACAUCUGUCCUGAUAUUGAUCAUGAAGUAUUGAUCAGAAUACUUAUGGUUAGCAGUCAUCCCUGAAGUUUUACAUUAAAAUCUUUACUUGUGUUGUGAACUUUGGUAAGAAGCAGAAACGUUAGCGUUGCCAUGGAUACACGAGUGUUAAAUUCUGUCCGUGUUUCCAUUUUGGGAAAUAUAGUCCAGUUCCAGAAUGUGGAGGAAUUUAGUCUCAAAAUCACAGACAACAAAUAUUAUCUGAAAGUUGGGUUAUUGUUGUUUAUCAGCACAAUACAAAAAGAUUAAUGUUAGAAAUAUUCCAGUUAAGACUCUAGAAUAUCAUGAUUUAUGUAAAUUUACCUCAAUAAUAUGAAUGUUCAGGUUAAGAUUGUACAGUGAUAUUUAUUAUGUAAGUUUAGCUGAUUAAAGUUUAUGACUGCACUAAAAUAUUAUUUAAAUUGACAUCAUUAUUAUAAUAUUUAGGGUCAGACCCUACAGUAUUGAGAUUAAGAAAUCAAAUAUUCUAUAAAAUGUAAAUACACUGAACUCAUUUGGAUAUAUUUAAAUGAGACUCUACAAUAUUAUUUGACACAAAUCUGUCUAAAUCAAAAUUUUAAUAAUUUUUUACAAACAUUUACUGGACUGAUUUAAAUAUGAAAAUCACUCCUUUCUAAUCCUCUGCUGUACGUUCAAACCUGAGGCCUUAAAUAGAAACACACAAGUAUCUGUUUGAAGGAACUUCUGCAGAGUCCUGGUUCCAGAACAUGAUGAUAGAAUUAUAGACAAACUUUAACAAAAGCUGCCUGAGAGUUUACAGGUUUUUAUGUUGGAUUUCUUCAGUAAUUUAAUGAGUUAUCAGCAAAAAUCAAGUGUUCAUUUGAUGAACUUCAUUUCCUAAAACAUCCAGAAUUGGAGCUCAUAUCUUUGGCAGCUGUAAAGUUUCUGCUCCUUCAAAGUUCACAACACAAUGAAUGAAUUCCUAAAACACUCUCAAUGCUGGAG
This is a long non-coding RNA of Amphiprion ocellaris (clown anemonefish), 1797 nucleotides long. Lineage: Eukaryota; Metazoa; Chordata; Actinopteri; Pomacentridae. The record is from Ensembl.